UGCGUAGGCGGCAUGUCAAGCCAGAGGUGAAAGGCAUUGGCUCAACCAAUGUAAGCCUUUGGAACUGACGCGCUUGAGUACAGGAGAGGUAAGUGGAAUUCCUAGUGUAGAGGUGAAAUUCGUAGAUAUUAGGAGGAACACCAGUGGCGAAGGCGGCUUACUGGUCCAUUACUGACGCUGAGGUGCGAAAGCGUGGGGAGCAAACA
Molecule: ribosomal RNA, 206 nt
Filed under: uncultured bacterium
Lineage: Bacteria
Description: partial 16S ribosomal RNA
Rfam family: Bacterial small subunit ribosomal RNA
Source: RNAcentral